AGUUAGAGGUGAAUCCCCGGGUCUCACCCUGGACUGCCUUCUAAAACUCCUAGUCUUGAGUUCGAGAGAGGUGAGUGGAAUUCCAAGUGUAGAGGUGAAAUUCGUAGAUAUUUGGAGGAACACCAGUGGCGAAGGCGGCUCACUGGCUCGAUACUGAC
RNAcentral lists this ribosomal RNA (158 nucleotides) under uncultured bacterium. RNAcentral's name for it is "partial 16S ribosomal RNA". It matches the Rfam family "Bacterial small subunit ribosomal RNA", at positions 586 to 744 of the family's 1533-position model. The record is from RNAcentral.